AUGCCCUAGUAACGGCGAGUGAAGCGGCAACAGCUCAAAUUUGAAAUCUGGCGUCUUUGGCGUCCGAGUUGUAAUUUGCAGAGGGCGCUUUGGCAUUGGCAGCGGUCCAAGUUCCUUGGAACAGGACGUCACAGAGGGUGAGAAUCCCGUACGUGGUCGCUAGCCUUUACCGUGUAAAGCCCCUUCGACGAGUCGAGUUGUUUGGGAAUGCAGCUCUAAAUGGGAGGUAAAUUUCUUCUAAAGCUAAAUACUGGCCAGAGACCGAUAGCGCACAAGUAGAGUGAUCGAAAGAUGAAAAGCACUUUGGAAAGAGAGUUAAAAAGCACGUGAAAUUGUUGAAAGGGAAGCGCUUGCAGCCAGACUUGCCUGUAGUUGCUCAUCUAGGUUUCUACCUAGUGCACUCUUCUAUAGGCAGGCCAGCAUCAGUUUGGGCGGUUGGAUAAAGGUCUCUGUCAUGUACCUCUCUUCGGGGAGAACUUAUAGGGGAGACGACAUGCAACCAGCCUGGACUGAGGUCCGCGCAUCUGCUAGGAUGCUGGCGUAAUGGCUGUAAGCGGCCCGUCUUGAAACACGGACCAAGGAGUCUAACAUCUAUGCGAGUGUUUGGGUGUCAAGCCCGAGCGCGUAAUGAAAGUGAACGGAGGUGGGAACCUUUCGGGGUGCACCAUCGACCGAUCCUGAUGUCUUCGGAUGGAUUUGAGUAAGAGCAUAGCUGUUGGGACCCGAAAGAUGGUGAACUAUGCUUGAAUAGGGUGAAGCCAGAGGAAACUCGGUGGAGGCUCGCAGCGGUUCUGACGUGCAAAUC
Molecule: ribosomal RNA, 805 nt
Filed under: Didymella bellidis
Lineage: Eukaryota; Fungi; Ascomycota; Dothideomycetes; Pleosporales; Didymellaceae
Also listed under: 1 other name
Description: eukaryotic LSU rRNA
Rfam family: Eukaryotic large subunit ribosomal RNA
Source: RNAcentral